CCUACGGGUGGCAGCAGUGAGGAAUAUUGGUCAAUGGACGCAAGUCUGACCCAGCCAUGCCGCGUGCAGGAAGACGGCUCUAUGAGUUGUAACCUGCUUUUGUACGAGGGUAAACGCAGAUACGCGUAUCUGUCUGAAAGUAUCGUACGAAUAAGGAUCGGCUAACUCCGUGCCAGCAGCCGCGGUAAUACGGAGGAUUCAAGCGUUAUCCGGAUUUAGUGGGUGUAAAGGGUGCGUAGGCGGUCGGAUAAGUUAGAGGUGAAAUCCCGAGGCUCAACUUCGGAAUUGCCUCUGAUACUGUUCGGCUAGAGAGUAGUUGCGGUAGGCGGAAUGUAUGGUGUAGCGGUGAAAUGCUUAGAGAUCAUACAGAACACCGAUUGCGAAGGCAGCUUACCAAGCUACUUCUGACGUUGAGGCACGAAAGCGUGGGGAGCAAACAGGAUUAGAUACCCCAGUAGUC
This 460-nucleotide ribosomal RNA is filed under the name uncultured bacterium. Its description in RNAcentral is "partial 16S ribosomal RNA". It matches the Rfam family "Bacterial small subunit ribosomal RNA", at positions 338 to 795 of the family's 1533-position model. The record is from RNAcentral.